This 433-nucleotide ribosomal RNA is filed under the name uncultured bacterium. Its description in RNAcentral is "partial 16S ribosomal RNA". It matches the Rfam family "Bacterial small subunit ribosomal RNA", at positions 29 to 507 of the family's 1533-position model. The record is from RNAcentral.
AACGAACGCUGGCGGCAGGCCUAACACAUGCAAGUCGAACGAAGUCUUCGGACUUAGUGGCGCACGGGUGAGUAACACGUGGGAAUAUACCUUACGCUGGGGGAUAACAUCGGGAAACUGAUGCUAAUACCGCAUACGCCCUACGGGGGAAAGAUUUAUCGGCGAAAGAUUAGCCCGCGUCCGAUUAGCUAGUUGGUGAGGUAAUGGCUCACCAAGGCUCCGAUCGGUAGCUGGUCUGAGAGGAUGACCAGCCACACUGGGACUGAGACACGGCCCAGACUCCUACGGGAGGCAGCAGUGGGGAAUAUUGGACAAUGGGCGCAAGCCUGAUCCAGCCAUGCCGCGUGAGUGAUGAAGGCCUUAGGGUUGUAAAGCUCUUUCACCCACGACGAUGAUGACGGUAGUGGGAGAAGAAGCCCCGGCUAACUUCGUG